AGAGUUUGAUCCUGGCUCAGGAUGAACGCUGGCGGCGUGCCUAAUACAUGCAAGUCGAGCGAACGGACGAGAAGCUUGCUUCUCUGAUGUUAGCGGCGGACGGGUGAGUAACACGUGGAUAACCUACCUAUAAGACUGGGAUAACUUCGGGAAACCGGAGCUAAUACCGGAUAAUAUUUUGAACCGCAUGGUUCAAAAGUGAAAGACGGUCUUGCUGUCACUUAUAGAUGGAUCCGCGCUGCAUUAGCUAGUUGGUAAGGUAACGGCUUACCAAGGCAACGAUGCAUAGCCGACCUGAGAGGGUGAUCGGCCACACUGGAACUGAGACACGGUCCAGACUCCUACGGGAGGCAGCAGUAGGGAAUCUUCCGCAAUGGGCGAAAGCCUGACGGAGCAACGCCGCGUGAGUGAUGAAGGUCUUCGGAUCGUAAAACUCUGUUAUUAGGGAAGAACAUAUGUGUAAGUAACUGUGCACAUCUUGACGGUACCUAAUCAGA
This 497-nucleotide ribosomal RNA is filed under the name Staphylococcus sp. AKB-2008-4346A. Its description in RNAcentral is "bacterial SSU rRNA". It matches the Rfam family "Bacterial small subunit ribosomal RNA", at positions 8 to 487 of the family's 1533-position model. The record is from RNAcentral. Lineage: Bacteria; Bacillati; Bacillota; Bacilli; Caryophanales; Staphylococcaceae.